AGGGCUAUAACUUAAUUGGUAAAGUGUUUGUUUGUUUUUGCAAGCAAAAGCGUUGGCGGUUCGAAUCCGUUUAGCUCCA
Molecule: transfer RNA, 79 nt
Filed under: Candidatus Hodgkinia cicadicola
Lineage: Bacteria; Pseudomonadati; Pseudomonadota; Alphaproteobacteria; Hyphomicrobiales
Description: tRNA-Val
Rfam family: tRNA
About the family: Transfer RNA (tRNA) molecules are approximately 80 nucleotides in length. Their secondary structure includes four short double-helical elements and three loops (D, anti-codon, and T loops).
Source: RNAcentral